CUCGUCAAAUUCGGUGCCCACCUCUGCCGUGGUGGGGACCGGCCCAAGGGCUGCCACAGCGACGUCUGUGCUCCAUGGGCUCCGCGUCCCUGCCGUGGGACAUCGGGGACCAAAAUAGGUUACGGACACUC
RNAcentral lists this small nucleolar RNA (131 nucleotides) under Gavia stellata (red-throated loon). RNAcentral's name for it is "Small nucleolar RNA SNORA5". It matches the Rfam family "Small nucleolar RNA SNORA5". Rfam says of the family: ACA5 is a member of the H/ACA class of snoRNA that guide the sites of modification of uridines to pseudouridines. Lineage: Eukaryota; Metazoa; Chordata; Aves; Gaviiformes; Gaviidae. The record is from Rfam by way of RNAcentral.